Molecule: long non-coding RNA, 608 nt
Organism: Pseudophryne corroboree (corroboree frog)
Lineage: Eukaryota; Metazoa; Chordata; Amphibia; Anura; Myobatrachidae
Exons: 3
Source: RefSeq, a predicted model, not a curated record
AGGAAUGGAUUGCAGUCCACCUUUUACAGCUGAAUGAAAAGAGAGGGGGUAGAAGAAGAAAGGUGAUUUAAAUUUCAUCUCUUCCCAGCAGCGGUGAGUAAGUGAUUGCUGAUUGGCACAGAGCACGGUCCCCUGUAUAUCGGGUCAGGUAAACUACAGCAGAGCGGACGUCUGUGGACAUGCAGAUUCCAGACACCUACGAUGCGCUGGGACAACAGAAACUACUUUUCUGACAUGGCCGAAGUGUGAAGACAGAAUGACAGGAUGGGGCUCAGUCUCUCUUGUCUGAAAGGACUGCAGAUUGGUAACCGCAGUGAAGAGACCCCCAGCAAAUUAUCCAAUAGUGGCCGGAGUGUCCCCGACAUAAUCGUCACACCCCCCACCCCGACUGGCACGAUGAAAUCUAGAACUGCGCUCCAACAGAGUCGGACGGGAUCUCCUGAAAACAACUGCUGCUGAUGCUGCUGGCCUGGAUCAUCUGCGUAUGACUGAAUUGUCGGCUCUAAGAUGGACAAACUGCAAAUGAAAACACUAAGAUUUUUUUUUUUUGUAUAGAUCUUUCUCCACACUAAAAUAGAAAAUAAAUAGUAGAUUAUGUACAUAUCAAA